Molecule: ribosomal RNA, 254 nt
Filed under: uncultured bacterium
Lineage: Bacteria
Description: partial 16S ribosomal RNA
Rfam family: Bacterial small subunit ribosomal RNA
Source: RNAcentral
UACGGAGGGGGCAAGCGUUGUUCGGAUUUACUGGGCGUAAAGGGUGUGUAGGCGGCUGGAUAAGUCUGGCGUGAAAUCUUCACCGCUUAACGGGAAGGGGUCGCUGGAAACUGUUCAGCUUGAGUAUGGUAGAGGCAAGCGGAAUUCCUGGUGUAGCGGUGGAAUGUGUAGAUAUCAGGAGGAACACCGGUGGUGUAGACGGCUUUCUGGACCGUAACUGACGCUGAGACACGAAAGCGUGGGUAGCAAACAGG